CCAGAAAAAUAAUUAAAAUGGCCUUAUUACAACCCAAAACCAAAUAAUAAUAUUAAUAAGAUAAAACUUAUAAAGAAAUAAAUCGGCUACUUAUUGCAAUUUAAAGAACAAGAAACAGUAGUGUGGCCAUCUCCGAGUCCCUCGCAGCUCCAAACCAUCUAAGCUUAGGGAUUACCUGCACAGUUAGAAACGGGGUGAGUUUACGAAAACUCAGUGUGUAAUCCCAAUAACAAACAAACAGUGAAAACACAGUGUCAGUACAAUCUAGGCCAAAGCCCUAUUUAGUCUUGGCAUAUACUAGGCCGAAGCCUUUCGUUUAACGGUUACUGGGCCAAAGCCUUAUCAUAAAUCAUAUCACUGGGCCGAAGCCUUAUCAUAAAUCAUAUCACUGGGCCGAAGCCUUACAGUAAACAGUAUGGCCCUUAGGCCCAUUUCAAUAUCACAUGUAAUGUCAAUGGAUGUAUGCAAGCCCAUUUGGGGAGACUACUCGACCCACCAUCCGCUACUCUCCACCCGUACCAACCAACACACCAUGUGGGGAAUAACUCAACCCACCCAACCAAACUCUCCACUGGCAGCAUAGUUGCUUUAUCAUAUAACUGGAGGCCUAGCCUCUUUUAAUAACUGGGGCAAAGCCCUUUCUGAUAAACUGGGGCAAAGCCCUUUUCGGUAAACUAGGGCAGAGCCCUUUUAGCACUUCCUCCAUCAAUAUAACUCAUAUCCCAUGCAAUAUGUCAUGUAUGUAGAAUGUCAUGCCCAUAUUUGAAUCAAAUAAUCACAGUUAAGUCAUUCAUAUCACUAACAUAUAUUCACAAUCAAAUCCGUCAACCACACAGUCCAAGUCAGUCACUUGCCCACAAGGGCAAAACAAUCAUUUUUCAUAUUAUAAGGGUAUUUUCGUAAUUUUACCAAAAAUCAGGGUUUUCCAUGUUCAUUACAAUUUUCAAUAUUCCAAUUGUUUAAACAAUGAUCUUUAACCCACUUAUCAAAUUCGGGCUUUUGGGCCCAAAACCCCCUAAUGGGCCCUACGAAUGCUGAUUUAGCCCACUAAGCCUACUUAACCCAAAUUUUACAACAAUACUAACCGUGUUAACAUGUAACUUUUCCAAAUUCCAUUUUCUAUCAAUUUUACCCAAAUGGGCCCAAAAGCCCAUUUGGCCCAAUUCCUGCCCAUUGAGGCCCAACUUACCAUCGUGCACAAAAUUAGGUUCUUACCCGUUCCAUCGAUCCAAACACCGAUCUUAUCGUAUUUAUCGUAUCUAUACCCAAACGCAACAUUAUAAGUUCCCGAAAUACCGGUAUUUUAGCAUUUCAGCUUCUCAGCAAAUAUUAAUCUAAGCUAUUACGAGGGUUAGUACACACCUGUUACGGGUUGAAGUUGAAACGUUUCCAAAAUCAAUCGCCUACGAUAACCACCACCUGUCACUCAAACUUAACUAAUCCAAUAUCAAUAUAUGUAAAUCCUAAGCACAUCAAUCAUACGAAACAUAAGGGCAUAUUCGUCAUUUUACCAUACAAGGGUAUUACGGUCACUUUACCCUAUAGGGGCUUUACGGUCUUUUUACCUAUUAGGGGUAUUUUAGUCAUUUCAUCCUACAAGGGUGUUUUGGUAAAUCUACAAACCAAUGGUAUUUCUAUAAUUUUUAGAAAGUCAAGGGUAUUUUUGUAAUUUUGUAAAUCAGGGGUAUUUUGGUAAUUUUACAAAUUAGGGGUAUUUUGGUAAUUUUACAAAUUAAGGGUAUUUUGGUAAUUCUAUCCUACAGGGGUAUUUCAGUAAUUUCACAAUCAAGGGUAAAACGAUAAUUUUGUAAACUAAGGGUAAAAUGGUAAUUUUGUAAAUCGAGGGUAAAAUAGUAAUUCUGUAAAUCAAGGGUAAAAUAGUAAUUCUAUAAAUCGAGGGUAAAAUGGUAAUUCUAUAAAUCGAGGGUAAAACGGUAAUUAUGUAAGUCGGGGGUACUUUGGUUAUUUUACAAGUCGAGGGUAUUUCAAUAAUUGGUAAACUAAAGUAUUCUAAACAUGGAUAACAAUACUAAUGGCCCUAAAGCCCAUUCUCGGCCCAAAUGGGCCCACACGCUCGUUUGGCCCUUUUAGCCCAAAUCUAGCCACAAAUAUUAGAUUCACCUAGCCUAACCCAAUAUUUACUACACAGUCAAACAACUUAUCCAAUUGGGCCCGUAGGCUCAUUAGGCCCACAUGACCCCUUUCGGCCCAUCGCGGCCCGAAGUAGCCAUCCUACAGCUAGAGUAGUAAGAAAUACACACCUAAUAGGAGACUGGAGUUAAUCCACGCUCCGAGCACUCUUAGCCGACGCCCAACCCAAACGAGCACGCCAUAUAGCGAAAGGGAUCAGCCAAGAAA
Molecule: long non-coding RNA, 2358 nt
Filed under: Gossypium barbadense (sea-island cotton)
Lineage: Eukaryota; Viridiplantae; Streptophyta; Magnoliopsida; Malvales; Malvaceae
Description: long non-coding RNA (GBAR_LNC011404)
Source: RNAcentral